AAGCGCUUGCAGCCAGACUUGCCUAUAGAUGCUCAUCCAGACACAUGCCUGGUGCACUCGUCUGUAGGCAGGCCAGCAUUAGUUUAGGCGGUUGGAUAAAGGUUUUGGGAAUGUGGCUCUCUUCGGGGAGUGUUAUAGCCCAGAGUGCAAUGCAACCAGCUUGGACUAAGGUCCGCGCUUCGGCUAGGAUGCUGGCGUAAUGGCCGCAAGCGG
RNAcentral lists this ribosomal RNA (213 nucleotides) under Pleosporales sp. RNAcentral's name for it is "partial large subunit ribosomal RNA". Lineage: Eukaryota; Fungi; Ascomycota; Dothideomycetes; Pleosporales. The record is from RNAcentral.